RNAcentral lists this ribosomal RNA (402 nucleotides) under uncultured bacterium. Its description in RNAcentral is "bacterial SSU rRNA". It matches the Rfam family "Bacterial small subunit ribosomal RNA", at positions 355 to 774 of the family's 1533-position model. The record is from RNAcentral.
UGGGGAAUCUUGCACAAUGGGGGAAGCCCUGAUGCAGCGACGCCGCGUGAACGAUGAAGCCCUUCGGGGUGUAAAGUUCUUUCGACAGGAACGAUAAUGACGGUACCUGGAGAAGAAGCUGCGGCUAACUACGUGCCAGCAGCCGCGGUAAUACGUAGGCAGCGAGCGUUGUUCGGAGUUACUGGGCGUAAAGAGUGCGUAGGCGGCGAGCCAAGUUUGGUGUGAAAUCUCCCGGCUUAACCGGGAGGGUGCGCCGAAAACUGGUUGGCUGGAGUAUGGGAGAGGAAAGCGGAAUUCCUGGUGUAGCGGUGAAAUGCGUAGAUAUCAGGAGGAACACCUGCGGUGUAGACAGCUUUCUGGACCAAAACUGACGCUGAGGCACGAAAGCGUGGGUAGCAAACA